Long non-coding RNA from Zingiber officinale, 391 nucleotides. RefSeq lists it as uncharacterized. The transcript is spliced from 2 exons. Lineage: Eukaryota; Viridiplantae; Streptophyta; Magnoliopsida; Zingiberales; Zingiberaceae. The record is from RefSeq and is a predicted model, not a curated record.
UGCGACGGCGCCGCUUCUGCCGAGCGAAGGAAAUACGAAGCUUUAGCUUCGUCUCCGGCGGUCGGCGAGGGUUUUUCCCGGUGAGAUCUUCACAAUCGCGAGUCCCCUUCAUCGAGGAGAAGGUGUUGCCGCAAGGGAUCACGGGAAUCUUUACCUAUCCGGAACCCUAGACUUCUCCUUUCCGGUUGUAAGUCCAAGAUCGCUCGAUAAAGGAAAGGAAAAGAUUUAGCAAGGAAGGCGACAAGGUGGUGGUGAUAGAGGUGUGUGAUGGCUGGACUAUGGGGAGAUCAAAAGUUUGCUAAGGAAUUAUCAAGACUUUUCUGUUUAGAGUUCUUUAGUUUCCUUUAAAUGUUAUUAUGAGUUAAGAUUGUUAUUAAGUUUAUUCAGCAUU